Molecule: long non-coding RNA, 5088 nt
Filed under: Sus scrofa (pig)
Lineage: Eukaryota; Metazoa; Chordata; Mammalia; Artiodactyla; Suidae
Description: lncRNA (ENSSSCG00000055595.1)
Source: RNAcentral
AUCCUGUAUGCACACAGGCUAUUUGGAAAGAAAGGGAGUAUGUUUACUGUAGAGAAUAAACAGGUGAAACAUGCCUGAAACAUACUGAGAUCCUAAAGUAGUGCAGCUUCUAAAAAUAGUGGCAGUGAUUCAACCUAGGGGCCUAACGGUAAAUUGGCAAUUAUCCUUCAUACCCAAGAGGCCAGCUGCAAACAAUUACUCUCCAGUCUACACAAAAAAUAAUGAGACAAAGCCCAGAAACAGGAUUUCAGUAGACAGCUAGGAGACCACGGGUGGUUAGUUAAUGAACAUGGGCAAUAUUUCUUUCCCCAACUGCCAUUUGUCAAGCCAUCAGGGAGGCUCAUUGAGAAACUCACUACAGGAGAGAAGCCCUAUAUAACUGGUCAGUUGCAAUCAUGCUAACUCCUGGUAUGAAAAGGAUAAUCAGUCAGAUAGUUGAGACAUGCUCCUUCUGCACAAUGAACAACCCCCACACCAGCACCCCCAGAGGUCCCCACAUAAGGCCUGUCAGCCCAGAGAGACACAUCCUAGGGAAGAUUGGCAGAUUGAUUUCACUAUCACGUCAAGAGCAUCAGACAAGUUCAGCUGUCUCUCAGUGCUAGUGGAUUUGUUUUUAGGGUCAGGAGAAGUGAUCCCCACUAGACGUGAAAUAGCAGGCAAAGUGGCUAAAGCAUUACUAAAAAAGAUAAUCCCCAGAUUUGGGCUCCCAAGAUUCCUACAAAGUGAUAACGGUCCAGCAUUUUUGUCUCAAGUGACGAAAGGAUAACAAGUGCCCUGGGCAUAAAACGAACCUUGUUCUCAGCCUGGAUACCCCAAUCAUCAGGAAAAGUACAGCAAUCCAAUUAGAUCUUAAAAUGCACCUGAGCCUUUUGAAAUGAAUGUGAGGAGAUUCAAAAAAAUUAGAUUAAUUUGCUCCCAACUGCCCUGCUCCACAUGUAGUUAGCUUCAAGGGACAUAAGUUAAAGUGAAGUACAUUUGAACUCAUGCACAUAGACCCAUUCCCCAGUCCAGAGAAAAGGGCACCUUGACAACUUUGAAAUGAAACAAUUCAGUAUGUUCUCCAGGUAGAAGAAAACAGGACCACACUCAUGGAAUAUGGUAAACAGGUGCUGCCCACACUCACCAGUCUGGCCCUCCACCCCUUCAGGCCAGGAGACUGGGUGAAGCUAAAAACCUGGAAAACCAGCAGCCCAAAGACCAAUUCACUUCUAGUAGAACUACCCCAUUUGGUGAUCCUAACCACCCACUCUGCCCUGAAGUUUCAGGGAUCACUCCAUGUGCACACCAUACUCCAGUGAAGAGGGCCCCUGAACCCCAGCCUCCUCUGAGACAACCUGGGACAAUGGACCCCUUUGACCACCUGGGUGAAUUUUCCUCUGACCUGAAGUUUCUCUUCUGAAAAACAGAAGUGUGACCAGGGAUAUUCAGGAAGUGUAGAACUUCACUGAUUGUUAGAUCAGUCACGCAAAAUCUGAGACAGGAAAGGACUACUAGUUUCAGGAAUUGUUGCAGUCAUAAGGGUGCUAGUGACCCUGGCAGGGGAACCACAUAUCACACUGUCACCGUAACAAAGGGAACGGCCACUGUGGCAACUGUGGCCAGUGACACUAGCCUCAACUUCGACUACUCAGCCCAAUUUGGCUGAGCAAUUUUGGAGUGGGAUAAAACAGGCCCUCCCUAGUAUCACUUAGAUUUUAGCUUUUCUGGGCGCCUUAAUGACCAUUAUUCUUGCUAAUGUUCGGGCCAUACAUAACUAUAAAACUCCAAGUGGUGGUCACUCAGGGAUACCAACAGUUCAGCUGAGGCCUGGUGACAAUCAAACAUCCAGAGGUAGCUGGGGAGAAAUUCUCCUCUACCCGGGGUGGUGAUGACGCCGGAAAUCAGCAGGAAACAGGAAAAGAAGUGAGAGCUGAAGCCCUCUGUGGCCCUCAAGAAUGAGGAGCAGAACAAAAGAGAGAGGAGGGAUUUGUCCCCACAAAGCCCAUUAACAAUGUCCGGGAAAUAAACGUAGAAGCUAGAUAAUAAGAUAAAUUCUAACCUUUUUUCUUUCCUUUGUGCUUCGUCUAGUUUCACUUGCUCAGAGGGUGCAGCGCGGAGAGGCCUGGCGCCCGGCCCUUCAGACCAGAGUUUCUAGUGCGAAAUAGCAGAGCCCAAGGCUUCAAUUCAAGAUGGCGGCGGUGGCGGCCGAGGGCAGAGACGCUGCGCCUUGCAGGAAGCGCGAACAGGACAGCCCCGCGAGAGCUCCUCGCCAGGCCCCCAGAAGGAUCCUGACAAAACAGCCCCGCCCACAGUCCUUGAUGGGGGAGAAUUUGUUAGAGUGAGAGCUGGUACCUCUUCAUUCUCUCAUCAAAGAAUAAAGCUUUCCUUUGCUUCUGAACUGAACUUGAUUUUGUUACAUUGGCGCAAGUGACACUGGGCAGGACUUUUGGUGGGGAUCUACUCAGGAGGAUCAAUAACAGAGUCAGCAGGUUUGGGAAAUACAUUUUUGGAGCAUCCUAGCAUGAAUGUCUUGAAUAGUGAAAGCCGCAUUUCUUUGUGACCUGAAGGCUCGAUAAAGUCUCUUUAGCCCUGUCCUUUUAGAAGUAAAAGUAGAUUUUUAGAGGCCACAUCCUGCCUUUCAGAGAGAGCUAUCAGCUCCUACCAGAAAAGAGUUCCUUUCUUACUACAUGCAAGAUAGAAAGAAUAAUUAGCACUAUCAUUGGAUUAUUAUUUCUUCCCACUGUAGCAUAUAAUAGAAUGGUUUUACUGUCAUAAACAUUUUCUCUGAUAGCCUUUCCUUAGUGUUAGCUGGACACACAUGUUCACAAGUUGGCCGAAUAAAGAGUAGGAAGUAGAAUAGAAUCAUAGGUUAGUGUCUUACUCAGACACACUAGCCAGGCUGAGACUUGGCCAGCAUGGAUCAGCACAGCCCUUCCUGUUGUUUGCACCUGUUGUCUCUUCUGAUUGGCUGGUGCCUGUGUGAUUCCAGUUGUUCAAGAUUUUCAAUACCAAUUUGGGGUGUACAUUUACCCUCUUAGAGCUAAACUAGUGAAAUAUAACAAACAAAUGGAUGCAAAGAGCUCUCUUCAGUAAUAACCCCAAAAUGUUCCUGAAAAAUGUGGACCUGAGAAAAUAUAAAAGCACCCAACUUCAAGAUGUAAACGGAAGCGAGCAGGCCUGGAAUGUGACUGAAACUAAGAAAAUCCACACCUGGACAACUGUAUUUAUAAAUUGUGUCUAAAUUGGUCACCUCCCUCUGAAGUUCAUAAGGGAAAUAGGCAUCAAGGACAUGUCAAGCGUAUGAUCAGAAUACCUAUGCUUGCAUCUGUGAAUUUCUAUCCAGUGGGGUGGCCUGGUGAACCAGGCUGAGGAUGCAGAAGGCCUCUGCUCCAUUUAAGUCUAUUUUGCCCAUUUUGUUCUGGGCUUAGAUCAAGCCUCUGACUUCUCAAGUGUACCGCACUGACGGCAAGGAAGGGCAGUACAAGAGUCUGCCAAGGAAAAGGGAGGGCUGGUCUGCAUCUCCCUAAGGGCUAUGGGAUACUGGUCUAUUUAAACUCCCACCCCACACUCUCUCAGGGCAAGGAGGGCCACAGGCAGCAGCCUCUGGUCAUCUAGUGCACCGGGUGUGCAGAGGGACUCCCAAGAAAGAAAAUACUGGAAAGAGACCUCAGCCUUAGUAUGGUGGCUCAGUAAAGGUCCUUCUUGACAUACCCAGAUGCUGGUGCACUGGGGUUUGGGGAAGUGGUGGUAGAGGAGAAUGAAACAGGAAGCCUGGAGCGCCCCUUGCAGACUAAUUGCAUUUUACCAUGGCUGAAAAAGGAACCUGGUAUUAGAAAGCUGGCAGCUCAGGAAACCUAAAAUAGAAGGGAGAGAAUCAGCAGCAUUCUGUCAGUACUAUCCAGGAAAGAAAGAUACUAAAUUUAGUGAACAAAGCUGGGCACUUGAAAAGAAGUCAGGUCCAGAAUCCUUUAUGAACUGUUCCAAAAUCCAGAAAUCUCUGAAAAUGGAAGAUGUUUUACAAUUCCUUUGUUAACAAAAUGUGACCUGAAUUGAUAUAAGGCAAUCUAUAGCCUCUGUUUAUCUCAGCAUGAAUAUAUUUAUGUUGUGUUACAUUUAUGUGUUUGAUCAUAAGAUGCUCCCGGACCUCACUAGGGAUGUUGUCAUAUAUGGUAAAUGAAUUGCUUACUUCUUUUUUUUUGUUUGUUUUUUGUCUUUUUAGGGCCACACCCACAGCAUAUGGAGGUUCCCAGGCUAGGGGUCUAAUUGGAGCUGUAGCCGCCAGCCUACACCACAGUCACAGCAGUGCUAGAUCCGAGUCAUGUCUGCAGCCUACACCACAGCUCAGAGCAACACCAGAUCCUUAACCCUGAGCAAGGCCAGGGAUGGAACCGCAAGCUCAUGGUUCCUAGUUGGAUUCUCUUCUGCUGCGCCACAUUGGGAACUCCUGCUUACUUCUUUAAAAUCUUAAAAACUGUGAAAUCUGAAAUACAUCUGGCCCCAAUCAGCCAAAGGAUUUGAGGAUCUGUGAGAUGAUGCUUGGUGAAUGUGGGCCUUGAUUCCAGCUCAGCCACUCACGUGUCAUAUGACUUUGAACAAGUGACACUGGUUCUGUAGUAAGAUAAGGAUACUAGUCAUUAUAUUAAAUGAGGUUAUGCACAGAGUUCAUCACAGGGCCUGGUAAAUGGUAAAUGUCUAAUAAUAUUGGUGUUUAUUUUCUUACUUGAUCUCAAAGACUGCAUACCUCACUCCCUCUGAUUCAUAGUUACCAAGGAAUCAUCUGCCUACAAGCUACCAGGCCCCCUGUUACCAAGAAGGUGGAAGCUUGGAAAGUGAACAAGAGUUUUUGAGUCUCUGAUGAUCUAUUAAAACCAAUAACUUGACUUUCAAUCCAAUGUCAAUCUCUUGCCUAUCUAAAAAAAUGCAGAUCAAAUGAAAAUCAGAGGAGAAGUUACAGCUGUGGUGCAGCAGGUUAAGGAUCCAGUGUUGUCUCUGCAGCAGCUCAGGUUGCUACUGAGGCAAGGGUUCAAUCCCCAGACCUGCACAGUAGGUUAAAGGAUUUGGUGAGGCCAUAGCUGUGGUGUAGGUUGAAGCUGUGGCUCGGAUUUGAUC